RNAcentral lists this ribosomal RNA (226 nucleotides) under uncultured bacterium. RNAcentral's name for it is "partial 16S ribosomal RNA". It matches the Rfam family "Bacterial small subunit ribosomal RNA", at positions 116 to 334 of the family's 1533-position model. The record is from RNAcentral.
CGUAAGAUAACCUGCCCUAUUGUGGGGGAAUAACUCCUCGAAAGAGGAGCUAAUACCGCAUAAGUUCUCUUUUGUUAGAGAGAGAGGAAAGCUUGGCGCAAGCCUGGCGCGAUAGGAGGGGUCUGCGGCGGAUUAGCUAGAUGGUGGGGUAACGGCCUACCAUGGCGACGAUCCGUAGCUGGUCUGAGAGGACGACCAGCCACACUGGGACUGAGACACGGCCCAG